CUUUGAAAGAGAGAGAGAGAGAGAGAGAGAGAGAGAGAGAGAGAGAGAGAGAGAGAGAGAGAGCUGCAUUUUGCAUAGACGAUCAUGCCUCAGCUUUUGAUUCUGCCGUGUGAUUUGCUUCUGAAAUGCAUUAUGGUUAUGCUACCUUGCUACAGUGCAGAUGAACUGAUAUGCUGGUUUUUCCUCUUUUCAUCAAGUUUAAUUUUUUGUUCUUUUCGAUUAUAUUUUAUUGAAUGUUGAACUUUGUUUGUGUAUUC
This is a long non-coding RNA of Dendrobium catenatum, 257 nucleotides long. RefSeq lists it as uncharacterized. The transcript is spliced from 2 exons. The record is from RefSeq and is a predicted model, not a curated record. Lineage: Eukaryota; Viridiplantae; Streptophyta; Magnoliopsida; Asparagales; Orchidaceae.